AUAAAUCAUUAAAUAUAAAAGAUUUGGCGGUAUUUUAAAUGUUUAGAGGAACCUGUAUAAUAAUUGAUAAUCCACAAUAAGAUUAACUUAAUUAUUUAUGUAUUGCUGUUUAAAGAUUAUUAUUAAUUAAAUUUUUAAAUUUUUAUUAUAAUUUAAUUCAGGUCAAAAUAUAGUUUAAUUAAGAUAUGGGUUACAAUUUAUUUUUGAAAUUGGAUUUAAUAGUAA
RNAcentral lists this ribosomal RNA (225 nucleotides) under Polybia occidentalis occidentalis. RNAcentral describes it as "partial small subunit ribosomal RNA". The record is from RNAcentral. Lineage: Eukaryota; Metazoa; Arthropoda; Insecta; Hymenoptera; Vespidae.